Anaerobacillus alkalilacustris is the source of this 115-nucleotide non-coding RNA. The record is from Rfam. Lineage: Bacteria; Bacillati; Bacillota; Bacilli; Caryophanales; Bacillaceae.
UUCUUAUCCAGAGUGGUAGAGGGACAGGCCCUAUGAAACCCGGCAACCAUCAAGUCAAAUUUUGACUUGAACGGUGCUAAUUCCUGCAAAGGUAUUAACCUUUGAAAGAUGAGAG